UAGCAUAUCAAUAAGCGGAGGAAAAGAAACCAACAGGGAUUGCCUUAGUAGCGGCGAGUGAACUGGCAAAAGCUCAAAUUUGAAAUCUGGCGUAUGCCUGAGUUGUAAUUUGAAGAGGAUGUCUUUUGCUUUAACUUGGGGUUUAAGUCUUCUGGAACGUAGCAUCAUGGAGGGUAAUAAUCCCGUAUGUGAUUUCAAGUUUUUUAAAGCAAUAUAAGACUCCUUCAAUGAGUCGAGUUGUUUGGGAAUGCAGCUCUAAAUGGGAGGUAAAUUUCUUCUAAAGCUAAAUAUAGGCUAGAGACCGAUAGUGAACAAGUAGAGUGAUCGAAAGAUGAAAAGUCCUUUGGAAAGAGAGUUAAAUAGUAUGUGAAAUUGUUGGAAGGGAAGCAUUUGCAAUCAGAUUUGUGUUGUUAAAAUUCACCUACACUUUAUGUGCUUAGAGCAUUUUUUUUCAACACUUGUCAACAUCAAUUUGAGUAGUGAUAUAAUCUUGGAUGAAAUGUAGCUCAUUGAGUGUUAUAGUUAUCCUUUGUUUAUCACUCACUUAAAUUGAGGCUUGCGGUUAUCAUGGAUGUUGACUUAAUGGUUGUAAGUGGCCCGUCUUGAAACACGGACCAAGGAGUCUAACGUUUACGCGAGUGUUUGGGUGUUAAACUCAAGCGCAUAAUGAAAGUGAAUGAAGGUGGGAGACUUUUAGGAGUUGCACCAUCGACCGAUCUUGAAGUUUUCUGAUGGAUUUGAGUAUGAGCGUAAUUGUUGGGACCCGAAAGAUGGUGAACUAUGCCUGCUUAGGCUGAAGUCAGGGGAAACCCUGAUGGAGGGUCGCAGCGGUUCUGACGUGCAAAUCGAUCGUCAAAAGUGGGUAUAGGGGCGAAAGACCAAUCGAACCAUCUAGUAGCUGGUUCACAC
This 909-nucleotide ribosomal RNA is filed under the name Gloeandromyces streblae. RNAcentral describes it as "partial large subunit ribosomal RNA". It matches the Rfam family "Eukaryotic large subunit ribosomal RNA", at positions 36 to 961 of the family's 3401-position model. Lineage: Eukaryota; Fungi; Ascomycota; Laboulbeniomycetes; Laboulbeniales; Laboulbeniaceae. The record is from RNAcentral. RNAcentral also lists the same sequence under 1 other name.